GGAAGGAUCAUUAUCGAAUUUGGAUCCGAAGGGGAGGACGGGCGAGCGAAGUUUGCAGAAGCAUUAGAGAUCGUCGCUGGCCUUUGGAAACAAAGGCAUGUGCACGCUCGACCCUCUGCUUAGUCCUCGUUCUCUUUCCUUUCGUAAAUCUUUGACACCCGUGCACCUCUUGUAGGUCCCCGCAAGGGGAACCUAUGUCUUCAUAAACCCCUUUGUAUGUCCAGGAAUGUAUCUAAAGCGUCGAACGGCUUGGCUAAAUGUCUGGUCGGCGACGGUAAAGAACGCAGUACAACUUUCAGCAACGGAUCUCUUGGCUCUCGCAUCGAUGAAGAACGCAGCGAAUUGCGAUAAGUAAUGUGAAUUGCAGAUUUUCAGUGAAUCAUCGAAUCUUUGAACGCACCUUGCGCUCCUUGGUAUUCCGAGGAGCAUGCCUGUUUGAGUGUCAUCUAACUCUCAACCAUCCCUCGAUUAGUUUCGAGGUUUGGCUUGGAUUUUGGGAGCUGCCGGCGGCCCCUCGGGUCUUUGGCUCUCCUCAAAAGCAUUAGCGACGGUGGUGCGACCUCUCCCCCCCCGCGCAUGAACGGCCUUCGACGUGAUAAUGAUCGUCGUGGCUGGAGUGUGCUAGCUGGGGUUGUCGUGUUCGGCGCUUCUAGUUCUCGUCGAAAGACGAAAAUAUCGAAACUUGACCUCAAAUCAGGUAGGACUACCCGCUGAACUUAAGCAUAUCAAUAAGCGGAGGAAAAGAAACUAACAAGGAUUCCCCUAGUAACUGCGAGUGAAGCGGGAUGAGCUCAAAUUUUGAAUCUGGCGGUCUUCUGGCCGUCCGAGUUGUAAUCUAGAGAAGCGUCUUCCGCGCCGGACCGUGUACAAGUCUCCUGGAAGGGAGCGUCGUAAGGUGAGAUUCCCGUCUUUGACACGGACUACCGGUGCUAUGUGAUGCGCUCUCGAC
This 949-nucleotide small RNA is filed under the name uncultured fungus. RNAcentral describes it as "eukaryotic LSU rRNA". The stretch from base 684 to 949 matches the Rfam family "Eukaryotic large subunit ribosomal RNA", at positions 1 to 261 of the family's 3401-position model. Lineage: Eukaryota; Fungi. The record is from RNAcentral.